AUGUGUUCCUAUAAAAAAAGAGAGAGAACAAUGCAUUUCAGCAUGUAUGUCUCGGCUCCUAUAAAAAAGAGAGAGAACAAUGCAUUUCAGCAUGUAUGUCUCAGUGUGGCGUGCUGUAGCGGAUCACAAUAUUCUUCUAGUGUAGUGGUGGUUGUGCGGUGGAGGUGGGGCUUCGUCCUUCAGGCAAAUCGUGCAACAUGGAUCUGGUCUGAUCCAGACAGAUCUGGUGCUGGCAGCCUGUCCGGCCGAGGGCUGAGGCCAACAGGGGCCGUGUGCGGCCGGCGCUGGCGUGGAUCGGUGGGCAGUGCUGGUGGCGUGGCUGAGGUGGUGGAGGUGCGUGCACGUCCUGGAGUCCGGUUGGGCCUUCCUCCCCGGCUUCUGGACGACAGCGUGCGGCGCGGGCGGGCUUCUCUUGUGCCCAUCUUUGGUGGUGAUGGCGGUGGAUCUACCCCCUCUUCGGCGAACAUGUGGCUGUUGGUGGCCUCUCGCCAGUCCGCGCCAGUAGCCAUGGUGGGGCGAAGCAGGGGUGCUUCGGGGGGAGGGGAAAGUCGGAAGGAGGGAUGGGGCUCUGCUGUUGUUGAGUCGCCUGUCGCCGACGUAGGGUGUGCCGGUCAUGGUCGUGUGCCGGUCCUUCCCCUUCCCCUUUUCGUCAGCCUGGUGCUUUCUGGCGAUGCUUGA
This 678-nucleotide ribosomal RNA is filed under the name Triticum aestivum (bread wheat). Its description in RNAcentral is "partial small subunit ribosomal RNA". The record is from RNAcentral. Lineage: Eukaryota; Viridiplantae; Streptophyta; Magnoliopsida; Poales; Poaceae.